Molecule: non-coding RNA, 85 nt
Organism: Podarcis lilfordi (Lilford's wall lizard)
Lineage: Eukaryota; Metazoa; Chordata; Lepidosauria; Squamata; Lacertidae
Source: the annotation of a GenBank genome assembly
GCCUUACAGAUCUUGGGAUAGCUCAGUUGGUUAGACUGUGGCACUGAUAAUGCCAAGGUUGCAGGUUAGAUCGCUGUAUAGGACA